GGAGAGGUGUCCGAGUGGCUGAAGGAGCACGAUUGGAAAUCGUGUGUUCCGCCUAAAGCGGAACCGAGGGUUCAAAUCCCUCCCUCUCCG
RNAcentral lists this transfer RNA (90 nucleotides) under bacterium. RNAcentral describes it as "tRNA-Ser". It matches the Rfam family "tRNA". From Rfam's summary of the family: Transfer RNA (tRNA) molecules are approximately 80 nucleotides in length. Their secondary structure includes four short double-helical elements and three loops (D, anti-codon, and T loops). The record is from RNAcentral. RNAcentral also lists the same sequence under 1 other name.